RNAcentral lists this ribosomal RNA (422 nucleotides) under Methanobacteriota archaeon. RNAcentral's name for it is "bacterial LSU rRNA". It matches the Rfam family "Archaeal large subunit ribosomal RNA", at positions 2539 to 2967 of the family's 2987-position model. The record is from RNAcentral. Lineage: Archaea; Methanobacteriati; Methanobacteriota.
GGGGAUAAUUGAGUUGUCACCAGCAAGAGCACAUAUCGACCUGGUGGCUUGCUACUUCGAUGUCGUCUCUUCCCAACCUCCUGGUGCAGCAGCUGGGAAGGGUGGGGUUGUUCGCCCAUUAAAGGGGAUCGUGAGAUGGGUUUAGACCGUCGUGAGACAGGUUUGUUGCUUGGCGGUUGNGGCGUGAUGCCUGAUCGGAAGGGCCGUUUAGUACGAGAGGAACGAUGGCUCGGAGUCACUAGUUUACCAGUUGUCCGGCAGGGCAAUGCUGGGUAGCCACACUCCAAUGGAUAAGAGCUGAAAGCAUCUAAGCUCGAAGCCAGCCGAAAGACGAGGCAUCUCAGGGAACUCGUAAAAGACGAGAUUGAUAGAAUGCGGGUGUAAGCACCGAGGCAACGAGGUGUUCAGCCCAGCAUCACUAA